RNAcentral lists this transfer RNA (90 nucleotides) under Cloacimonas sp. (SeqCode). Its description in RNAcentral is "tRNA-Ser". It matches the Rfam family "tRNA". From Rfam's summary of the family: Transfer RNA (tRNA) molecules are approximately 80 nucleotides in length. Their secondary structure includes four short double-helical elements and three loops (D, anti-codon, and T loops). Further hydrogen bonds mediate the characteristic L-shaped molecular structure. tRNAs have two regions of fundamental functional importance: the anti-codon, which is responsible for specific mRNA codon recognition, and the 3' end, to which the tRNAs corresponding amino acid is attached (by aminoacyl-tRNA synthetases). tRNAs cope with the degeneracy of the genetic code in two manners: having more than one tRNA (with a specific anti-codon) for a particular amino acid; and 'wobble' base-pairing, i.e. permitting non-standard base-pairing at the 3rd anti-codon position. Lineage: Bacteria; Pseudomonadati; Candidatus Cloacimonadota; Cloacimonadia (SeqCode); Cloacimonadales (SeqCode); Cloacimonadaceae (SeqCode). The record is from RNAcentral.
GGAGACGUGUCCGAGUGGCUGAAGGAGCACGCUUGGAAAGCGUGUAUACGUUUAUGCGUAUCCAGGGUUCGAAUCCCUGCGUCUCCGCCA